Molecule: long non-coding RNA, 748 nt
Organism: Bubalus bubalis (water buffalo)
Lineage: Eukaryota; Metazoa; Chordata; Mammalia; Artiodactyla; Bovidae
Exons: 2
Source: RefSeq, a predicted model, not a curated record
CUGGUGCCGGCGGCGUCACGCGCGCGCCCGCGUCCUCGCGUCCCGGAGGAUCCGCUUCCUACGCCGACAGCCACGCCAGUAUCUGCAGGGGCAGCGAAUCCAAAAUAGGUGAAGAAGCACGUCAGGCCUUAAGAUAACUCAAAACUGGUUUGGUUCCAUGACAUCAACCUUGGCACAUACGAAGAGCAAAGAACUUUGCCUUGUUUGGAACCGAGAGGAACCUCUACUUUCUCUUUUCCAUUUUUAUGAAGACAGUAUUUUUUCCUUUUAGUUGGAUGAUGUAUACUUUUAACAUUCCAGGGGGAAAGUGUCAGUGAUAUGCAAGUCAUAAUAAAAGAAAAUCAAAAGAAAUGCAAUUACAAGGGACAAGGAACUUCAUCAUUUUUAGUAUGAAAUGCCCAGAGGAAAAUCUAAUUUUAAAAAUUACCGGCACCAUAUGAAGGAGACAAGAAUAUACAGAUAGAUUUGUUGCUUUAAAAAUUAACUUAAUUCUUAAUCUUUCUGGGUCUUGGCUUUAUUUUUAAAGGCCAAAAAUUAUCGUUUGAUGUUGGAUAAGGAGUAAAGCUCACAUCACUGCGAUGUGAUACUGGGAAGUGACAAUGGAAUGCCACUGGUCUGUUUCUGGCUUGCCGGCUGGAAUGAGCAGGGCACUUAACGAGUUAUUAACAGUGAAUGUAUAUUGAGGAUGAAACCAUGUCUCUUUCCCAUUAAUAUAAAGGUACCUAUUAAAAAUGAAAAUGUGGACUUC